RNAcentral lists this ribosomal RNA (253 nucleotides) under uncultured bacterium. RNAcentral's name for it is "partial 16S ribosomal RNA". It matches the Rfam family "Bacterial small subunit ribosomal RNA", at positions 524 to 776 of the family's 1533-position model. The record is from RNAcentral.
UACAGAGGUCCCAAGCGUUGUUCGGAUUCACUGGGCGUAAAGGGUGCGUAGGUGGUGAGGUAAGUCGGAUGUGAAAGCUCGGAGCUCAACUCCGAAAUGGCAUUGGAAACUACCUUGCUCGAGGGUUGGAGGGGGGACUGGAAUGCUUGGUGUAGCAGUGAAAUGCGUAGAUAUCAAGCGGAACACCAGUGGCGAAGGCGAGUCCCUGGACAACUCCUGACGCUGAGGCACGAAGGCCAGGGGAGCAAACGGG